GACGAACGCUGGCGGCGUGCCUAAUACAUGCAAGUCGAACGCAUUUUCUUUCACCGUAGCUUGCUACACCGAAAGAAAAUGAGUGGCGAACGGGUGAGUAACACGUGGGUAACCUGCCCAUCAGCGGGGGAUAACACUUGGAAACAGGUGCUAAUACCGCAUAAUUCCAUUUACUGCAUGGUAGAUGGAUGAAAGGCGCUUUUGCGUCACUGAUGGAUGGACCCGCGGUGCAUUAGCUAGUUGGUGGGGUAACGGCCUACCAAGGCUGCGAUGCAUAGCCGACCUGAGAGGGUGAUCGGCCACACUGGGACUGAGACACGGCCCAGACUCCUACGGGAGGCGGCAGUAGGGAAUCUUCGGCAAUAGACGCAAGUCUGACCGAGCAACGCCGCGUGAGUGAAGAAGGUUUUCGGAUCGUAAAACUCUGUUGUUAGAAAAGAACAAGGAUGAGAGUGGAAAGUUCAUCCCUUGACGGUAUCUAACCAGAAAGCCACGGCUAACUACGUG
RNAcentral lists this ribosomal RNA (507 nucleotides) under uncultured bacterium. RNAcentral's name for it is "partial 16S ribosomal RNA". It matches the Rfam family "Bacterial small subunit ribosomal RNA", at positions 28 to 507 of the family's 1533-position model. The record is from RNAcentral.